RNAcentral lists this ribosomal RNA (915 nucleotides) under uncultured bacterium. Its description in RNAcentral is "bacterial SSU rRNA". It matches the Rfam family "Bacterial small subunit ribosomal RNA", at positions 8 to 916 of the family's 1533-position model. The record is from RNAcentral.
AGAGUUUGAUCAUGGCUCAGGAUGAACGCUAGCGGCAGGCCUAAUACAUGCAAGUCGAACGGGAUCCAUUUUCAGCUUGCUGAGGAUGGUGAGAGUGGCGGAUGGGUGCGUAACGCGUGAGCAACCUACCGAUAUCUACGGUAUAGCCCGGCGAAAGUCGGAUUAAUCCCGUAUGUGAUAUAGAGGCGGCAUCGUUUUUAUAUUAAAUAUUUAUAGGAUAUCGAUGGGCUCGCGUGACAUUAGCUAGUUGGUACGGGUAACGGCCUACCAAGGCUAUGAUGUCUAGGGGCUCUGAGAGGAGAAUCCCCCACACUGGGACUGAGACACGGCCCAGACUCCUACGGGAGGCAGCAGUAAGGGAUAUUGGUCAAUGGAGGGAACUCUGAACCAGCCAUGCCGCGUGCAGGAUGACUGCCCUCAGGGUUGUAAACUGCUUUUAUACGGGAAUAAUUAUGUGUACCUGUACUCAUUUGAAUGUACUGUAUGAAUAAGGAUCGGCUAACUCCGUGCCAGCAGCCGCGGUAAUACGGAGGAUCCGAGCGUUAUCCGGAUUUAUUGGGUUUAAAGGGUGCUUAGGCUGCAUUUUAAGUCAGUGGUGAAAUUUAUGGGCUUAACCUAUAACUUGCCAUUGAUACUGGGGUGCUUGAAUAGGUUCGAGGAUGGCGGAAUGUGACGAGUAGCGGUGAAAUGCAUAGAUAUGUCACAGAACACCGAUUGCGUAGGCAGCUAUCCAGGUCUUUAUUGACGCUGAAUCACGAAAGCGUGGGGAUCAAACAGGAUUAGAUACCCUGGUAGUCCACGCUGUAAACUAUGAUAACUCGAUGUUGGCGAUAUACUGUCAGUGUCCAAGCGAAAGCGUUAAGUUAUCCACCUGGGGAGUACGUUCGCAAGAAUGAAACUCAAAGGAAUUGACGG